AACGCACGAGACCUGCGGACCUGCGGAAGGAUCAUUACCGAGUUAUACAACUCCCAAACCCACUGUGAACCUUACCUCAGUUGCCUCGGCGGGACCGCCCCGGCCGCCGCGCAAGCGGCGCCGGACUCCAAGGCGCCCGCCGCAGGGACCCAAAACUCUUUUGCAUUACGCCCAACGGCGGGAAUUUUUUCUCUGAGUGCAUAAGCAAAACAAAUGAAUCAAAACUUUCAACAAUGGAUC
This 240-nucleotide unclassified non-coding RNA is filed under the name soil metagenome. Its description in RNAcentral is "partial contains 5.8S ribosomal RNA, internal transcribed spacer 2, and large subunit ribosomal RNA". The record is from RNAcentral.